This 511-nucleotide ribosomal RNA is filed under the name uncultured bacterium. Its description in RNAcentral is "partial 16S ribosomal RNA". It matches the Rfam family "Bacterial small subunit ribosomal RNA", at positions 28 to 506 of the family's 1533-position model. The record is from RNAcentral.
GAUGAACGCUGGCGGCGUGCCUAAUACAUGCAAGUCGAACGAAACUUCUUUAUCACCGAGUGCUUGCACUCACCGAUAAAGAGUUGAGUGGCGAACGGGUGAGUAACACGUGGGCAACCUGCCCAAAAGAGGGGGAUAACACUUGGAAACAGGUGCUAAUACCGCAUAACCAUAGUUACCGCAUGGUAACUAUGUAAAAGGUGGCUAUACUACCGCUUUUGGAUGGGCCCGCGGCGCAUUAGCUAGUUGGUAGGGUAGAGGCUUACCAAGGCAAUGAUGCGGAGCCGAAUUGGGGGGUUGGUCGGCCACAUUGGGACUGAAACAGGGCCCAACCCCCUAGGGGGGGAAGCAGGGGGGAAUUUUCCAAAAGGGGCGAAAGCCGUAGGGGGCAACGCCGGGGGGGGAAAGAGGGUUUUGGGAUCGUAAAACCCUUGUGUUAGGAAAAAAAGGGGGGGAGGGGAACUUUUCCCGUUUGGACGGUACCUAAACAAAAAGCCACGGCUAACUACGU